CAGGAGAGUACAAACAGUAUAGAAAUGGUUUCCUUUUCACCGUUGAAAUCCUUUGCAGUGACAUUCUAGAAAAUGCCGAGAGUCCUCUAUGGGGAGAGUUGGUCACUAUUUUAAAGGUGGCUUGAAAUACAUGGGCUAAUCUAGGAGAGAAGACUAAACCCAGGCUAAGACUAUAAUUGGGAAAGAGUCAGCAGUCACUCCUGUUAGGCAGGAUAGGGGAGAGGGGAACGUUUGAUCAUUUCUGUAGUCAGACAGUGUUCAUGUUUUGUCUGUGUUCAGACAUAGUUACGAAGUGGUCUUGUCUUUGUCUUGGUCCAUCCUGGUCACAGAAUGGCUUCAUCUGAUGUUGACACUCUGUGAAAUGCUUUAUGUUCAACAGGAGAACACCAAGGCCUCACUGAGAGUGUCAGACGAGUCUGGAUGGCAGGGGUUACAUGCUGUCCCUCAACCGAGUGCCAUCUCACCCGGGACCCAUCAUAGCCCAUGCAGGACCCAUCGGUUCAUCUUCUGCUGCAGCGUUCAUAGUUCUAGAGCCUGGACCUUGGAUGCAAAAUUGGUAUUAUUUUCUAAAAAGUCCUGUAUCUUCCAAGUGGAGGUCAUCUGCUGGCACAAGCCGGACUGCACCAUCUGAGCAUUCAAACUCACCGAGUGUUGAAAAGAGGGUCAAGAGGAGCCAAGCAACUCAUGGAACUUUUCUCCCGGGUAAGAAACCUGCAUCCCAGGGUCACAGUCCCCUCUCUUUGUGUCUUUUUUCCCCUUUGUGUCUUUAAUUUGUUCCUCACCACUAGUUAUUUUACUUCAUCCUACAAAUAGACCCCCAAAUCAAGAAUGCAACUGGCUACGAGGCACAGAUCCUCCUGAGUAUCUGGUGGGUGACUCCCGUGUAACCCAUUCAAAAUGGAAUCCAUCAGGUGCUACUCCCCCGCCUACAUCCACCUCCCCAGACCUGUUCUAUUCCUGUACACUAUUUACUGAUAUAUAAACACACUCAAUCUAAAAACCUUUUUCAUAAGCAGAAGUUCAUAUAAAUGACUAUUAAUUCUCACUCUUAUUAAUGUCACAGUAACAUUUUUCUAGUAAUAGAAAAGUAAGCUUAAACAUUAAGCUAGUGAUAUUGACAACAUAAAUUGUAUUAUAAAGGUAACUGUAAACUCUGCAAUUACACUAAUAAAAUAAAAAUUUCUAAAGUGAC
RNAcentral lists this long non-coding RNA (1192 nucleotides) under Ailuropoda melanoleuca (giant panda). RNAcentral's name for it is "lncRNA (ENSAMEG00000031100.1)". The record is from RNAcentral. Lineage: Eukaryota; Metazoa; Chordata; Mammalia; Carnivora; Ursidae.